Molecule: ribosomal RNA, 253 nt
Filed under: uncultured bacterium
Lineage: Bacteria
Description: partial 16S ribosomal RNA
Rfam family: Bacterial small subunit ribosomal RNA
Source: RNAcentral
UACGUAGGGUGCAAGCGUUGUCCGGAUUUAUUGGGCGUAAAGAGCGUGUAGGCGGUUUGGUAGGUCCGCUGUGAAAACUCGAGGCUCGACCUCGAGACGCCGGUGGAAACCAUCAGACUAGAGUCCGGAAGAGGAGAGUGGAAUUCCUGGUGUAGCGGUGAAAUGCGCAGAUAUCUGGAGGAACACCGAUGGCGAAGGCAGCCCCCUGGGCUAACACUGACGCUCAGGCACGAAAGCGUGGGGAGCAAACAGG